This 117-nucleotide small RNA is filed under the name Marmota monax (woodchuck). Lineage: Eukaryota; Metazoa; Chordata; Mammalia; Rodentia; Sciuridae. The record is from RNAcentral.
GCCGGGUGUGGUGGUGUGUGCCUGUAAUCUCAGCUACAUGGGAGGCUGAGAAAGGAGGAUCUCUUGAGCCUGGAAGUUUGAGACCAGCCUGGGCGACAGAUUGAGACCUCAUCUCAA